This 102-nucleotide non-coding RNA is filed under the name alpha proteobacterium BAL199. Its description in RNAcentral is "TPP riboswitch aptamer (THI element)". It matches the Rfam family "TPP riboswitch aptamer (THI element)". Rfam says of the family: Vitamin B(1) in its active form thiamin pyrophosphate (TPP) is an essential coenzyme that is synthesised by coupling of pyrimidine and thiazole moieties in bacteria. The record is from Rfam by way of RNAcentral. Lineage: Bacteria; Pseudomonadati; Pseudomonadota; Alphaproteobacteria.
UACGUGAUGCUGGGGUGCCUGUCGCGGUGCGGCGGGCUGAGAUCACACCCAUUGAACCUGAACCGGGUUGCGCCGGCGGAGGGAGUCGUCACGGUCUUGACC